RNAcentral lists this ribosomal RNA (1138 nucleotides) under uncultured bacterium. RNAcentral's name for it is "bacterial SSU rRNA". It matches the Rfam family "Bacterial small subunit ribosomal RNA", at positions 261 to 1401 of the family's 1533-position model. The record is from RNAcentral.
CGGCUCACCAAGGCAACGAUGAUUAGGGGUUCUGAGAGGAUAUCCCCCCACACUGGAACUGAGACACGGUCCAGACUCCUACGGGAGGCAGCAGUAGGGAAUAUUGGGCAAUGGAGGCAACUCUGACCCAGCCAUGCCGCGUGAAGGAAUACAGCCCUACGGGUUUUAAACUUCUUUUAUUAUAGAGUAACCGGAGGUACGUGUACCUCCCUGCAAGUAUAUAAUGAAUAAGGAUCGGCUAACUCCGUGCCAGCAGCCGCGGUAAUACGGAGGAUCCGAGCGUUAUCCGGAUUUAUUGGGUUUAAAGGGUGCGCAGGCUGAUCGAUAAGUCAGGGGUGAAAAAUUUCAGCUUAACUGGAAUCGUGCCUUUGAUACUGUCGGACUAGAGUGUAACUGACGUGACUGGAAUGUGCCGUGUAGCGGUGAAAUGCUUAGAUAUGUCACAGAACGCCAAUCGUGAAGACAGGUCACGAAGUUACUACUGACGCUCAUGCACGAAAGCGUGGGGAUCAAACAGGAUUAGAUACCCUGGUAGUCCACGCUGUAAAACGAUGAUUACUCGUUGUUGGGUAGCAAUACUCAGUGGCCAAGCGAAAGUGAAAAGUAAUCCACCUGGGGAGUACGAUCGCAAGGUUGAAACUCAAAGGAAUUGACGGGGGCCCGCACAAGCGGAGGAGCAUGUGGUUUAAUUCGAUGAUACGCGAGGAACCUUACCCGGGCUUGAACGUGAGACGAAUAUAUAAGAGAUUAUAUAGCCUUCGGGCGUCUUGCGAGGUGCUGCAUGGUUGUCGUCAGCUCGUGCCGUGAGGUGUUAGGUUAAGUCCUGCAACGAGCGCAACCCCUACACUUAGUUGCCAGCAUGUCAUGAUGGGGACUCUAGGAGAACUGCCUACGCAAGUAGAGAGGAAGGUGGGGAUGACGUCAAAUCAGCACGGCCCUUAUGUCCGGGGCUACACACGUGCUACAAUGGUAUGUACAGAGGGCAGCCACCUGGUGACAGGGAGCAAAUCCUCAAAACAUAUCUCAGUUCGGAUUGGAGUCUGUAACUCGACUCUAUGAAGUCGGAUUCGCUAGUAAUCGCGCAUCAGCCAUGGCGCGGUGAAUACGUUCCCGGGCCUUGUACACACCGCCCGUCAAG